Molecule: ribosomal RNA, 232 nt
Filed under: uncultured bacterium
Lineage: Bacteria
Description: partial 16S ribosomal RNA
Rfam family: Bacterial small subunit ribosomal RNA
Source: RNAcentral
GAUCCUGGCUCAGGAUGAACGCUAGCUACAGGCUUAACACAUGCAAGUCGAGGGGCAGCAUGGUCUUAGCUUGCUAAGGCUGAUGGCGACCGGCGCACGGGUGAGUAACACGUAUCCAACCUGCCGUCUACUCUUGGGCCAGCCUUCUGAAAGGAAGAUUAAUCCAGGAUGGGAUCAUGAGUUCACAUGUCCGCAUGAUUAAAGGUAUUUUCCGGUAGACGAUGGGGAUGCG